This 253-nucleotide ribosomal RNA is filed under the name uncultured bacterium. RNAcentral describes it as "partial 16S ribosomal RNA". It matches the Rfam family "Bacterial small subunit ribosomal RNA", at positions 524 to 776 of the family's 1533-position model. The record is from RNAcentral.
UACGUAGGGUGCGAGCGUUGUCCGGAAUUAUUGGGCGUAAAGAGCUCGUAGGCGGUUUGUCGCGUCGGGAGUGAAAACUCAGGGCUUAACCCUGAGCCUGCUUCCGAUACGGGCAGACUAGAGGUAUGCAGGGGAGAACGGAAUUCCUGGUGUAGCGGUGAAAUGCGCAGAUAUCAGGAGGAACACCGGUGGCGAAGGCGGUUCUCUGGGCAUUACCUGACGCUGAGGAGCGAAAGUGUGGGGAGCGAACAGG